GACGAAAGUCUGACGGAGCAACGCCGCGUGAGUGAUGAAGGUUUUCGGAUCGUAAAACUCUGUUGUUAGGGAAGAACAAGUACCGUUCGAAUAGGGCGGUACCUUGACGGUACCUAACCAGAAAGCCACGGCUAACUACGUGCCAGCAGCCGCGGUAAUACGUAGGUGGCAAGCGUUGUCCGGAAUCAUUGGGCGUAAAGCGCGCGCAGGUGGUUCCUUAAGUCUGAUGUGAAAGCCCCCGGCUCAACCGGGGAGGGUCAUUGGAAACUGGGGAACUUGAGUGCAGAAGAGGAAAGUGGAAUUCCACGUGUAGCGGUGAAAUGCGUAGAGAUGUGGAGGAACACCAGUGGCGAAGGCGACUUUCUGGUCUGUAACUGACACUGAGGCGCGAAAGCGUGGGGAGCGAACAGGAUUAGAUACCCUGGUAGUCCACGCCGUAAACGAUGAGUGCUAAGUGUUAGGGGGUUUCCGCCCCUUAGUGCUGCAGCAAACGCAUUAAGCACUCCGCCUGGGGAGUACG
This 520-nucleotide ribosomal RNA is filed under the name uncultured bacterium. RNAcentral's name for it is "bacterial SSU rRNA". It matches the Rfam family "Bacterial small subunit ribosomal RNA", at positions 374 to 884 of the family's 1533-position model. The record is from RNAcentral.